RNAcentral lists this ribosomal RNA (254 nucleotides) under uncultured bacterium. Its description in RNAcentral is "partial 16S ribosomal RNA". It matches the Rfam family "Bacterial small subunit ribosomal RNA", at positions 1252 to 1500 of the family's 1533-position model. The record is from RNAcentral.
ACACGGUGACGUGGGGCGGAUCCCUGAAAACCGGUACUCAGUUCGGAUCGCAGUCUGCAACUCGACUGCGUGAAGGUGGAGUCGCUAGUAAUCGCGGAUCAGCAUGCCGCGGUGAAUACGUUCCCGGGCCUUGUACACACCGCCCGUCACACCAUGGAAGUCUGCAAUGCCCGAAGCCGGUGGCCUAACCACUUAUGUGGAAGGAGCCGUCUAAGGCAGGGCAGAUGACUGGGGUGAAGUCGUAACAAGGUACC